GAGCAACAAGAUGGAAGCAACCUGAUCCCUAACUUCAAAAGUGUUCAACUAUGUUUCUAGAAGAAUGAUUUCUGAAGCUAUGUAGUCAUCUCUAAAUUUUUCACUACUGCUUCAACAACUUCCUGUGGUGCCACAUUCACACCAUGCCUAAUAUCAAAGUUCUAUUAACUGAAAUACAAGUGUAAGAGGAAGUUAAUGCUAAUUCACAAAAGGAAUAUGAUGAUUCUAAUUCUUUUAGUAUCAACAGAUCUAUGUUACUUCUAAAAGAAGGUAUUAAGGAAAGCCUGUAUGAAAUUUCAUUCAUCAGUCAAGACCAUACUGGCCUUGAAUAAAAUUUAUAAGCA
This 344-nucleotide long non-coding RNA is filed under the name Homo sapiens (human). RNAcentral's name for it is "HSALNT0271333". The record is from RNAcentral. Lineage: Eukaryota; Metazoa; Chordata; Mammalia; Primates; Hominidae.